CAAAUCCUAUAGGCUUUUGCUAGGAUACACCCACUUAGUUUUUAGAAGGAGUAUUUUAGCAAGUGAAUAACUAAAAAAUAG
This 81-nucleotide microRNA precursor is filed under the name Medicago truncatula (barrel medic). The record is from RNAcentral. Lineage: Eukaryota; Viridiplantae; Streptophyta; Magnoliopsida; Fabales; Fabaceae.